AUGCUUCUCCUAAAGACUAAGCCAUGCAUGCCUCCGACUAGAAGAGCAAUUCUCUCCGAAUCUGCGAACGGCUCCGCAAACCAGUUGUAAACCAUAGCGAGCAUGCCCUUGGACCGGUCGAAAGGCUGGUCCUUGGGUGAUAAGGAUAACCCUGGUAAUUCUGAGGCUAAUACUUGACUGCAAAGCCUGGCUAAACCGGGCAACCGGAAGGCUGGGGGACGUGUGAGUUGAUGCGCAAAAUAUAGCUGGGAGUAGAUA
Molecule: ribosomal RNA, 258 nt
Filed under: uncultured eukaryote
Lineage: Eukaryota
Description: partial 18S ribosomal RNA
Rfam family: Eukaryotic small subunit ribosomal RNA
Source: RNAcentral